Molecule: transfer RNA, 71 nt
Filed under: Marmota monax (woodchuck)
Lineage: Eukaryota; Metazoa; Chordata; Mammalia; Rodentia; Sciuridae
Description: tRNA.Ala
Rfam family: tRNA (bases 6-66)
About the family: Transfer RNA (tRNA) molecules are approximately 80 nucleotides in length. Their secondary structure includes four short double-helical elements and three loops (D, anti-codon, and T loops). Further hydrogen bonds mediate the characteristic L-shaped molecular structure. tRNAs have two regions of fundamental functional importance: the anti-codon, which is responsible for specific mRNA codon recognition, and the 3' end, to which the tRNAs corresponding amino acid is attached (by aminoacyl-tRNA synthetases). tRNAs cope with the degeneracy of the genetic code in two manners: having more than one tRNA (with a specific anti-codon) for a particular amino acid; and 'wobble' base-pairing, i.e. permitting non-standard base-pairing at the 3rd anti-codon position.
Source: RNAcentral
GAGGUUGUGGCUCAGUGGCAGAGCACUUACCUAGCAUGCAUGAGGCACUGGGUUUGAUUCUCAGCACUGCA